This 942-nucleotide long non-coding RNA is filed under the name Homo sapiens (human). RNAcentral's name for it is "non-protein coding lnc-TANC2-1:1". Lineage: Eukaryota; Metazoa; Chordata; Mammalia; Primates; Hominidae. The record is from RNAcentral.
CAGAGGCUGGGUUGUAAACCCAAAAUAUCUGAGAUGGGUCUCAGUGAAUUUAGAAAGUUUGUUUUGCCAUGGUUAAGGAUGUACCCAUGACACAGCCUCAGGAGAUCCUGGCCACGUGUGCCCAAGGUGGUUGGGGUACAGCUUGCUUUUACACAUUUUAGGGAGACACAGGACAUCAAUCAAUGUGUGUAAGAUGUACAUUGGUUCGGUUCAGUAAAGUGGGACAACUCGAAGUGGGGGCUUCCCAGUUAGCAGCAGUUAACAUCAUGCUACUUGAUAAGCACCCUCGGAACUACAAAUUGAAAGAAUACUAAGAGAAGCAAGAAAAUGGACGCUUAGCCCUGAUGGGAAAUCAUACCUCGUUUCGUGACAAUCUAUUACAUUCAUGUCAAGAGGAAAGGUUGGACAACUUAUUUGUCUUUUCUCUUACCUAAGUCGUUCGUCUGCUCAAAUCCUCCUUGCUUGCCAAAGAAACGUCUUCUUCCAACAUCAGCAGCGGCACAGUCCACAAGCCUUUGUGGUAUUCUGACAUGGCCAUCUUUUGUUUGAGGACACACUGCAAGGGACAGAGGGAAGCAUUUUCCUGACUCCUGAACGGUGUUAGCCACAAAAGUAGUUGUUUUGAGUUACAGGUUAUGCUGUGCCAAUGCUGAGCAUGGUGCCCAAGUGACAGAGGCACCCUGUCUUCUUUUUUUUUUUGAGACAGAGUCUCCCUCUGUCACCCAGGCUGGAGUGCAAUGGCACGGAUCUUGGCUCAUUGAACCUCCCAGAUUCAAGCAAUUCUCCUGCCUCGGCCUCCCGAGUAGCUGGGAUUACAGGCGACCGUCACCACGCCCAACUAAUUGUUGUAUUUUUAGUAGAGACAGGGUUUCACCAUUUUCGCCAGGCUGGUCUCAAACUCCUGACCUCAAGUGAUCUGCCUGCCUCAGCCUUCCAUGGUGC